AACUUUAGGAAUUUAGAUUCACGUAAUUGGUAAUUGACUUGAGUGAAACUUAUAACGAAUUAAAUAUUGUAACGAUUGGGAACGUAAUACAGAAUAUAGCUUAGGUAUUUAGAUUAACGUAACUGACAAUUGACAUGAGCGAACCUUAUUUUUAAUUUGAGCUUGUAUGGUACGCUAAGUACGUGAUUUUAUUUACAUUGACUUUAAUCGUAAAUAUCAUGAGGAUAUCGUAGAAUUACUAGUAAAAUAAGAUUACAAUCUAACAUUUUAAAUAGCGUGAGAAAAGCAGAGUUUAUAGUUUGACAAUUGGAAAUGAAUAAUUGUUAUCGUGGCAUAAUCGUCCUCUUUGAUAACUUCAAAACUAAACGUAUUUAUAAGAGUAAUGGAAUAUUAAAAAAUUCGUGAAAAUUGCUUGUUAGGUGAUCGCGGUGAAAAAUUUUAAUCAAUAUAUUAAUUGAAAUUGUUUACAAGAUUUAAAAAUCAUUUGAGGUAGAUUGAUCGGGAAUUUAAAAAAUAAUAUAAAAUAAACGUAUUUUUAGAGUGAUGGUAUAAUACAUUAAUCGUGAAUAUUGCUUGCUAGAUGAUCGCGGUGAAAAAUUAAUCGAAAUAUUAAUUGAAAUUGGCUUACUAGAUUUAAUAAUCAUUAAGGGAGUUUGGGGAAUUUAAAAAAAAUAAAAAAGAAAUCUAUUAAGUAGGUUGAUAAAUAGGUAGCUACGUGGAGUUUGAAGUUUACUAGCGCUCCUGGCUAAUUUUGGGUUAACCGUAUAUUUGAUUGGGUUGUGAAAAGGAAUGGGGAUCUUGAAGAUAAAUGAUAAGAAUAUUGAGAAAAAUUUCUAACAGUGGAAAAUUAUAUUUCCUUAAUUUUAUUUAGAACGUUCAAAUCCGAUGAGUUUUAUUUAGUCUGUAGGGGGGUCAUGUGACCAGAGAAGCGGACAUAAGCAUUGCUUAAUAGGAAUUCAAACUACCGUUUUCGGAGGUUUCAUCUGGAAACUAUGCGUAUUCGUAAUGUUGAUCGUCUAAAUUGAGAUUGGAUUUGAAAGUUACUCAUGAAGUCCGCGUUUAAGAUCGGUAAGUGGUAAUAAUUUAGAAUUCGAUGAGUUUAAAUUAGAAGAACUGAUGCUUUGUGAAAUUUGUUUUAGGUAGAAGAUCGCGAUCGUUCGAACGGAUUUCGAGUUAUCUUUGAGACAAUUUAAUGGAAUUUGAACGAAUUUGGUAGCGUUUUCGAAUGUGAACGUUUAAGGACUAUUGGCUAAAUGGGAAUCGAAUUCGUGAUAGCAUCGGAGCGAGUACAUUUACAGGUAAAUUAAUCAAGUUGUUAGUUCGUAAACUUAUCGUAAAUGAUCUAAUAAACAAUAGAAUUAAUUAAUCUCAACGAAGAUCGAGGGAUUUAAUCGCAAACGAAUGGUGUAAUCGAAUAGUUCAUCAUAAUCUUGGAAAUUAAACCAAUGGGCAUAAUCGAAUGUUUCAGGUAACGAAUAAGAAUAGAUGAUGAUCGUGAAAUUUGGAUCUUCGGAGGAACGAAUAAUUGGCUGAUUUUAGCGUUGUGUUCCUGAAUUGGAUGGCAGUUCGAAUUCGGCGACUGCUUUGUGUAUAUAUUUAUCUGUUUUAUUGACCAGCGAGUGUGAAAUAUACGAUUAUGUAAAUUA
Molecule: long non-coding RNA, 1646 nt
Organism: Planococcus citri (citrus mealybug)
Lineage: Eukaryota; Metazoa; Arthropoda; Insecta; Hemiptera; Pseudococcidae
Exons: 2
Source: RefSeq, a predicted model, not a curated record